Molecule: small RNA, 856 nt
Filed under: Pongo abelii (Sumatran orangutan)
Lineage: Eukaryota; Metazoa; Chordata; Mammalia; Primates; Hominidae
Description: retained intron
Source: RNAcentral
CCUUGCUGUGGAAACUGCAUUCUGCGGGGCUUAUGUUCGUUCUCCUUUCAGUCCCCUCCAGGGCAGGUUACUGAGGCCGUGAAGGUGGCCAUUGACGUCGGGUACCGCCACAUCGACUGUGCCCAUGUGUACCAGAAUGAGAAUGAGGUGGGGGUGGCCAUUCAGGAGAAGCUCAGGGAGCAGGUGGUGAAGCGUGAGGAGCUCUUCAUCGUCAGCAAGCUGUGGUGCACGUACCAUGAGAAGGGCCUGGUGAAAGGAGCCUGCCAGAAGACACUCAGCGACCUGAAGCUGGACUACCUGGACCUCUACCUUAUUCACUGGCCGACUGGCUUUAAGCCUGGGAAGGAAUUUUUCCCACUGGAUGAGUCAGGCAGUGUGGUUCCCAGUGACACCAACAUUCUGGACACGUGGGCGGCCAUGGAAGAGCUGGUGGAUGAAGGGCUGGUGAAAGCUAUUGGCAUCUCCAACUUCAACCAUCUCCAGGUGGAGACGAUCUUAAACAAACCUGGCUUAAAGUAUAAUCCUGCAGUUAACCAGAUUGAGUGCCACCCAUAUCUCACUCAGGAGAAGUUAAUCCAGUACUGCCAGUCCAAAGGCAUCGUGGUGACCGCCUACAGCCCCCUCGGCUCUCCUGACAGGCCCUGGGCCAAGCCCGAGGACCCUUCCCUCCUGGAGGAUCCCAGGAUCAAAGCGAUCGCAGCCAAGCACAAUAAAACUACAGCCCAGGUACAGCCACUUCAGGUGUUCCUGACUGUCCACAACUGCCUUCAUUCCUGAUAGUCCUGUUAGCCAAGAGGAGGAAGUGACUGAGCCUGUUACACCCUCACAGGAAGUAUGGUUAGGGGUCCUCAAGUGC